GUUUACAUUUAUACCACCCUGAACACACCUGACCUUGUCUGACCUAGGAAGCUAAGCAGGGUUGGGCCUUGUUAAUCCUUGAACAAGAGAUAUGUGUUACAAACA
Ribosomal RNA from Macaca nemestrina (pig-tailed macaque), 105 nucleotides. NCBI's taxonomy places the organism in Eukaryota, Metazoa, Chordata, Mammalia, Primates, Cercopithecidae. The record is from Ensembl.